GAUGAAGAACGUAGCGAAAUGCGAUAAGUAAUGUGAAUUGCAGAAUUCAGUGAAUCAUCGAAUCUUUGAACGCACAUUGCGCCCCUUGGUAUUCCGGGGGGCAUGCCUGUUCGAGCGUCAUUAUCACCCCUCAAGCCCGGCUUGCUGUUGGACGCCGGCCCCCGUUCACCCCGGGGGCCCGUCUCAAAGAUAAUGACGGCGCCUGUGAGGACUCCGGUACACUGAGCUUUCGGGCACGUACUCGGCUAGAAGUCCAGGCCCGUCGCAACUUUUUUUUAAAGUAAAAUUUAUUAAACAAGGUUGACCUCGGAUCAGGUAGGAAUACCCGCUGAACUUAAGCAUAUCAAUAAGCGGAGGA
This 358-nucleotide unclassified non-coding RNA is filed under the name soil metagenome. RNAcentral's name for it is "partial contains 5.8S ribosomal RNA, internal transcribed spacer 2, and large subunit ribosomal RNA". The stretch from base 1 to 120 matches the Rfam family "5.8S ribosomal RNA", at positions 35 to 154 of the family's 154-position model. The record is from RNAcentral.